AAUGAACGCUGGCGGCGUGCUUAACACAUGCAAGUCGAACGAGAAAGGGAUUGCUUGCAAUCCUGAGUAGAGUGGCGCACGGGUGAGUAACACGCAGAUAAUCUACCUCCAAGCCCGGGAUAACUGUUCGAAAGAGCAGCUAAUACCGGAUGAAGUGAUUUACCACAAGGUAAAACAUGAAAGAUUGCCUCUUCAUGAAAGCAAUUGUUUGGAGAUGAGUUUGCGGACCAUUAGUUAGUUGGUGGGGUAAAGGCCUACCAAGACUACGAUGGUUAGCUGGUCUGAGAGGAUGAUCAGCCACACCGGAACUGGUACACGGUCCAGACUCCUACGGGAGGCAGCAGUGAGGAAUUUUGCGCAAUGGGGGCAACCCUGACGCAGCAACGCCGCGUGAGUGAAGAAGGCCUUUGGGUCGUAAAGCUCUGUCGACAGGGAAGAAGUUACAAUUAUCCAAUAGGUAGUUGUAUUGACGGUAC
This 476-nucleotide ribosomal RNA is filed under the name uncultured Desulfobacula sp. RNAcentral describes it as "bacterial SSU rRNA". It matches the Rfam family "Bacterial small subunit ribosomal RNA", at positions 29 to 478 of the family's 1533-position model. The record is from RNAcentral. Lineage: Bacteria; Pseudomonadati; Thermodesulfobacteriota; Desulfobacteria; Desulfobacterales; Desulfobacteraceae.